AUGAAGGUAUGGAGGAGGGCAGGAGUUGUUCCAGGUGCCAGAGCAGAAGUUCUCCUGUGGCCUGUGGAGAGGCCCCUGGUGGAGCAGAUAUCCAAGCUGCAGCCCAUGGAGGACCCCACACUGAAGCAGUUCAUGAAGGACUGUGUCCUGUGCUCCUGUGCUAAGUUAAGCUUUGCCUUCCGUGCCUGAUUUUUCUUGAUACCCUUUGUUCUCAGCAUCACUGUUCCUAUACUAUUCUCUCCUAUGGCUCAAGUGGGAUCUCUGUGUUAUCAAGUGAGUGAUGAACAGAUUUGAUAACUAGGGAAAGGGGAAGGGGGGAUGACUUAGGGAGUGCUGCCUUCCCUGCUCCAUCCUGGAGUCGGCAG
Molecule: long non-coding RNA, 365 nt
Filed under: Cairina moschata (Muscovy duck)
Lineage: Eukaryota; Metazoa; Chordata; Aves; Anseriformes; Anatidae
Description: domestica (muscovy Duck (domestic type)) lncRNA (ENSCMMG00000010196.1)
Source: RNAcentral